RNAcentral lists this ribosomal RNA (301 nucleotides) under uncultured bacterium. RNAcentral's name for it is "partial 16S ribosomal RNA". It matches the Rfam family "Bacterial small subunit ribosomal RNA", at positions 509 to 807 of the family's 1533-position model. The record is from RNAcentral.
CAGUAGCCGCGGUAAUACGGAGGGUGCAUGCGUUAAUCGGAAUUACUGGGCGUAAAGCGUGCGUAGGCGGUUCGUUAAGUCUGUUGUGAAAGCCCCGGGCUCAACCUGGGAAUGGCAAUGGAUACUGGCGAGCUAGAGUGUGUCAGAGGAUGGUGGAAUUCCCGGUGUAGCGGCGAAAUGCGUAGAGAUCGGGAGGAACAUCAGUGGCGAAGGCGGCCAUCUGGGACAACACUGACGCUGAGGCACGAAAGCGUGGGGAGCAAACAGGAUUAGAUACCCCCGUAGUCCCUGUCUCUUAUAC